This 500-nucleotide ribosomal RNA is filed under the name uncultured microorganism. RNAcentral describes it as "bacterial SSU rRNA". It matches the Rfam family "Bacterial small subunit ribosomal RNA", at positions 9 to 510 of the family's 1533-position model. The record is from RNAcentral.
GAGUUUGAUCGUGGCUCAGGACGAACGCUGGCGGCGUGCUUAACACAUGCAAGUCGAACGAGAAUCUACUGAAAGAGUUUUCGGACAAUGGAAGUAGAGGAAAGUGGCGGACGGGUGAGUAACGCGUGAGGAACCUGCCUUGAAGAGGGGACAACAGUUGGAAACGACUGCUAAUACCGCAUGAUGCAUAAGGGUCGCAUGAUUCUUAUGCCAAAGAUUUAUCGCUUCAAGAUGGCCUCGCGUCUGAUUAGCUAGUUGGCGGGGUAACGGCCCACCAAGGCGACGAUCAGUAGCCGGACUGAGAGGUUGAACGGCCACAUUGGGACUGAGAUACGGCCCAGACUCCUACGGGAGGCAGCAGUGGGGAAUAUUGGGCAAUGGGCGCAAGCCUGACCCAGCAACGCCGCGUGAAGGAAGAAGGCUUUCGGUAUGUAAACUUCUAUCAGCAGGGAAGAAAAUAGACGGUACCUGACUAAGAAGCCCCGGCUAACUACGUGCCA